Molecule: ribosomal RNA, 387 nt
Filed under: Alveolata sp.
Lineage: Eukaryota
Description: partial small subunit ribosomal RNA
Rfam family: Eukaryotic small subunit ribosomal RNA
Source: RNAcentral
AUUCCAGCUCCAAUAGCGUAUAUUAAAGUUGUUGCGGUUAAAAAGCUCGUAGUUGGAUUUCUGCUGAGGCCGACCGAUCGGCCCAUAUGGGUUUGUAUCUGGUUAGACCGAGGCAUCCUCUUGGAAGACGCAUGCUCUUUAUCGGGUGUGCGGAGUCCAGGACUUUUACUUUGAGGAAAUUAGAGUGUUUCAAGCAGGCUUACGCCGUGAAUACAUUAGCAUGGAAUAAUAAGAUAGGACUUCGGUUCUAUUUUGUUGGUUUCUAGAACUGAAGUAAUGAUUAAUAGGGACAGUCGGGGGCAUUCGUACUUAAUUGUCAGAGGUGAAAUUCUUGGAUUUAUUAAAGACGAACUACUGCGAAAGCAUUUGCCAAGGAUGUUUUCAUUG